Long non-coding RNA from Ostrinia nubilalis (European corn borer), 698 nucleotides. RefSeq lists it as uncharacterized. The transcript has 2 exons. The record is from RefSeq and is a predicted model, not a curated record. Lineage: Eukaryota; Metazoa; Arthropoda; Insecta; Lepidoptera; Crambidae.
CAGCCAAUGUUUACUGUGACCACAGACGAAAACUUAAACAUCUGACGAUAUUAAAAGUAAAGUUAUUAGGCUACCAUGAUCUUAAUUCAAAUUCCUAUCAAGUCAAGUUCAAAGAUCCUAUCGUCCCAAACAAACAAUGCUAUCACGUCAAUGGCUUAAUCACCGUACUCGUAAAUGAACAUGCGUUUGUCGGUCAACAAAUUAUUGACCCUCUGCGCGCACGCUGGCCGAGCGCCGUAUAUAGUGGAGUGGGAGGCGUGCGCUCGACAAAGUGAACUCAACAUUCGCCGCGAACACACGUACUCGUACAACUUUCAGACAAAAUGUAUACCAACCCAUUCGAGAGAAAGCACUCCUCGCUCCGGCAGGCCCUUGACCGCUUCAUCGGCGAAACCCGGCUCAGCUUCAAAAAGAAAAUCAACAUGGCCAAGUCGAAGAGUUCGUCCAGUGCGUCCUCGGUUUCAUCAUCGUCAUCGUUCUCGUCGUUGCAAUUCAAACCGAAUUCUAACGGGAAGAGGUGAAGGACUGUGUGAUGUGUGUGGUUACCAGUGAUCUCGAAACGAGCGCCACUUUGAAAACAGGCUGAGUGGUGCGACCGGUCGAUUGACGUCAUGGCUGCGCCGACGCCACAGAAAAUGGACACCUACCUCCCGUCAAUUUGGAAGAAUCAUUAAAUAAACGUAUCAUUAAUCGCAUAA